RNAcentral lists this ribosomal RNA (441 nucleotides) under Triticum aestivum (bread wheat). Its description in RNAcentral is "partial small subunit ribosomal RNA". The record is from RNAcentral. Lineage: Eukaryota; Viridiplantae; Streptophyta; Magnoliopsida; Poales; Poaceae.
AUGGGUAGUAUAAGGGAUCCUUGCAAAUAUGAAUUUAGAGAUUUUCUUGCUGAUAUAACUGUGGGAGAAUCUAGGGAUAUUACACAAGCUACAAUAGGGAGCAUUCACUUUCCUGUCAUACAUUAUUUUGCUCUCUUCAUAGGUAGAUACAUAAAUGGUAAAGAUGAGGCAUGUCACGUGUGUGUCCCCAAUCUUAGUAUUCUUAGGAGUGCUGUGUUAGGAGACAAAUCAUAUAAUUUGGGAGCCAUUGUUGCACGUAGGUUGCAUCUUAAUAGACGUAAUGGAGAUUUCUUUGGUGGAAUUUAUGCAACCCGCGUAGCUAAUUUUCUUGGUAUAGAUGUGCGCAAAGAUGAUAUUGAAUUACCUCCUACCUAUCUAGAUUUUAAUGCUAUGGGUCACCACCAGUUUGUUGAGAGGAACGAAUCACCUCUCCAGUAUUGA